UACGUUGGUGGCAAGCGUUGUCCGGAUUUAUUGGGUUUAAAGGGUGCGUAGGCGGCUUUGUAAGUCAGUGGUGAAAUAUCGCAGCUUAACUGUGAGGGUGCCAUUGAUACUGCAGAGCUUGAGUACAGAUGAGGUAGGCGGAAUUGACGGUGUAGCGGUGAAAUGCUUAGAUAUCGUCAAGAACACCUAUAGCGAAGGCAGCUUACUAGGCUGUAACUGACGCUGAGGCACGAAAGCGUGGGUAGCAAACAGG
This 253-nucleotide ribosomal RNA is filed under the name uncultured bacterium. RNAcentral describes it as "partial 16S ribosomal RNA". It matches the Rfam family "Bacterial small subunit ribosomal RNA", at positions 524 to 776 of the family's 1533-position model. The record is from RNAcentral.